AGUCGAGCGGACCGAAUGGGAGCUUGCUUUCGUUCGGUUAGCGGCGGACGGGUGAGUAACACGUGGGCAACCUGCCCGUAAGACCGGGAUAACUCCGGGAAACCGGAGCUAAUACCGGAUAACACCGAAGAUCGCAUGAUCUUUGGUUGAAAGGCGGCUUUGGCUGUCACUUACGGAUGGGCCCGCGGCGCAUUAGCUAGUUGGUGAGGUAACGGCUCACCAAGGCGACGAUGCGUAGCCGACCUGAGAGGGUGAUCGGCCACACUGGGACUGAGACACGGCCCAGACUCCUACGGGAGGCAGCAGUAGGGAAUCUUCCGCAAUGGACGAAAGUCUGACGGAGCAACGCCGCGUGAGCGAAGAAGGUCUUCGGAUUGUAAAGCUCUGUUGUUAGGGAAGAACAAGUACCGUUCGAAGAGGGCGGUACCGUGACGGUACCUAACGAGAAAGCCACGGCUAACUACGUGCCAGCAGCCGCGGUAAUACGUAGGUGGCAAGCGUUGUCCGGAAUUAUUGGGCGUAAAGCGCGCGCAGGCGG
This 538-nucleotide ribosomal RNA is filed under the name uncultured Bacillaceae bacterium. Its description in RNAcentral is "bacterial SSU rRNA". It matches the Rfam family "Bacterial small subunit ribosomal RNA", at positions 60 to 578 of the family's 1533-position model. Lineage: Bacteria; Bacillati; Bacillota; Bacilli; Caryophanales; Bacillaceae. The record is from RNAcentral.